GAUGAAGAACGUAGCGAAAUGCGAUAAUUAAUGUGAAUUGCAGAAUUUAGUGAAUCAUCGUAUCUUUGAACGCACAUUGCGCCCCUUGGUAUUCCGGGGGGCAUGCCUGUUCGAGCGUCAUUUCAACCCUCAAGCUCUGCUUGGUCUUGGGCCGCGCCGGCGACGGCGGGCCUCAAAAACAGUGGCGGCGCCAUCUGGUUCCUCAGCGUAGUAAUUCUUCUCGCUGUUGGGCCCGGGUGGCCGCUGGCCAGCAACCCCAAAUUUUCUAUGGUUGACCUCGGAUCAGGUAGGGAUACCCGCUGAACUUAAGCAUAUCAAUAAGCGGAGGA
This 329-nucleotide unclassified non-coding RNA is filed under the name soil metagenome. RNAcentral describes it as "partial contains 5.8S ribosomal RNA, internal transcribed spacer 2, and large subunit ribosomal RNA". The stretch from base 1 to 120 matches the Rfam family "5.8S ribosomal RNA", at positions 35 to 154 of the family's 154-position model. The record is from RNAcentral.